AGGAUAUUCAACGCGGAAUCAGAAUCGUGGGAAAACUAUAGGAGAACCAUUAUGUCAUUAAUCAAUCAACAUGGGUUCCAAAAGUUUGUAGCUACGACUAGCCAAAACAAGGUGGAAGAAGGGCUCGUGCCAAUUCUGGAGAAUGCGGCAAAGGUGAGGAAUGAAGUGGAUAUGCAAGAAUUAUUUCAAAAUUUUACCUUUGAUUGAACUUGCAUUUUAAUUUUAGGCCAUGAUCCAGCUUCACUGCACAACGAUUUGCCACAUUUGUCAUAUCAAAAAGCCUUUGUUGAUGCUGAGGAAACAACAUUGUAUAGGCAUAUUCUCCCAAAAACUUACUGGAAGCUUCAAAAAUGGCUCCAAAUUGGCAAAGAGAAGAAGCUUAGUAAACUGAUGGACACCAUCAAUCAAUUUUUUAUGCAUUGCAUCUCUCUAAAGCGCUUGAAAAUUAAUUGUACAGACCAUACCGCUCAACAAGAAAAUGAGGAUUUUGACUUGUUAACAAGUUUCAUGAAAGUAGUUGGAGAAAAGAGUGAUGCACCCGAUAACAUGCCUGAAUAUGUUGUAAAUAUUGGAGGGAUGAAGAAGAAACAAAAAGAAAAUUCACAAAAAGUACUGCAACAAUAGAAACAAAACCAAAAAUUUGUAACAACAAAUGUGAAGGUUUGAACGCGGGAUCGCUGUCCUAAAACAUUAUUUGCUACUUCUCCAGUGUUUAUGAUAUGCUUAAGAGUAUUUCGACAAAUAGUUUGAAUGAUUGUAACAAACCUUGUAAAGAA
RNAcentral lists this long non-coding RNA (776 nucleotides) under Olea europaea subsp. europaea. The record is from RNAcentral. Lineage: Eukaryota; Viridiplantae; Streptophyta; Magnoliopsida; Lamiales; Oleaceae.